GUAAACUCUAAAUUUCUUUGAUUUUUUUCAGCCAGCAGUCUUACCAGACUAUUUGUUUUCUGCACUCCACUGCAAUAUAUACCAGGUCCCAAGACCAGGAACACAAGAGGAUGCCUUAUACUGAGGUCAGUAUUGUCUGUGGUGACUGGCAGAAGUUCUGCAGGGUUUCAGGGAUGAGUUCCUCCCAAACCUACCUGGAGAUACCAGGGAUUGAACCUGGGACCUUCUGGAUUAGCUGUAGUUCCUGAGUCUCCUUCAAAGGUAGCCCUUAUACAUAAGGAAGCACCACUUUCCACAUUAAGAACAUAAGAAGAGCAUGAUGGAUCAGGUCAGUGGUCCACCUAGUCCAGCAUCCUGUUCUCUUAGCAACCAAUCAGAUGUCUGUGGGACCCAAACAUGAGAACACUCUGCCCUACUUUGGCUUCCAGCAACUGGUUUUCAGAUGAAUGAAUGAAUCUUUAUUUGCAUCAGCCACCGGCCAUAGCAACAAAACAGCAAUGCAGUAUACAAAGAACAGAAAUAAAAAGUCGAUUAUAUAAAACGCACUUUAGGGUCCUGAAUCAGCAGUCAAAUAGUGGACCUUAUUCUGAUUGCCCCAGCUAAAAACCUUGCAACCUUUGCUGUCAUCUGCUCCUCUUGAUCUGCCAGAAGAAAGGACACUGUGGCAGUGGUUGGGCGACCCAGAAUGGACAAUAAGAGAAGGGUGAUAAUCUCAUUCCUCAACUCUUUAUACAGAGUGCAAGCCAGAAGGGUAUGCGCCACUGAUUCGGUACUGCUAUCUCCACAGGGACAUAAGCGUUUUUCAUGUGGAAUCUGUAGGAAUCGUCCCUCAAGUACAGCCGAGGGCAAUACAUUCAAUCUUGUAAGAGGUUUUCAGAAGCUUUGAUGCCUCCAACUGCAGAGGCAGAGUAUACCUACUGUGGCUAGUAGCCACUGAUUGCCUUUCCGUCCAUUAAUUUGUCCAAUUCUCUUUUAAAGUCAUCCGUGUUGGUGGCCAUUACUGCCUCCUGCAGAAGCCACCGUUUAACGACGCACUGCUUCGUUAGCAUUACGCCAUUGCUUUCCCCCAUCGAUGCAUGAAGUCCGGGAGGCUGCAUUCAAAUGCAGCCACUUGUUCCUGCAAGGCAGCUGCGUAGACCCAAGGGCAAAUGUACGUGCAUUUCACUCAACAUGAUGUAAUGGCUGGAGAGAUGCAGCGCCAUAUAUCAAAUCACAGAAAGUGUAAUGUCAGCUGAAAAUUCUGAAAACAUUGUCUUGUUUUAAAAGGACACACUGUCUUUUAAAGAGCUUGCUCCCUCUCCCUCUUGCUUAUUCUCUCCCUCCCGCCAGUACUUAGGAGGUGAUUCAUAGACCACUGAUCUUGGCAUUGUCUGGAGAUGUCACAAAAUCAUCCUCUCAUUUCUGUUAACUGCAAGGCCGCCUUGCUGCCCGGGCUCUAGGGAGUCGCUGGAAUGGAGGUUCUUGCGAACUGUUGCUUCAACCUCUGAACUCCUUGCCAGUAUUCUGUUUUGACAGAAACGUUUGCCCUCAGUGAAAGGCAAGUUUGUCCUAUUCGCCUUCUGAAGCUGAGCCUAGGCCCAUUUCCACAUAUACUUUAUCUGUUCCUCGUGUGUGUGUCUGCCUGUCUUCUCCUUGUGCUUUCCUCCUCAAAUGACAUUUAGAUUGUAAGCUCCUUGCGGAGAGGAAUCUGUGUACAUCUCUAAGUGUGUAUGUGUGUCUCCUUAUUUUAUUCUGAAGCAAGAAGUGGGGAACCUCAGGUCCAGGGACAGAAUGUUGUUGUUGUUUAGUUGUUUAGUUGUGUCCGACUCUUCGUGACCCUAUGGACCAGAGCACGCCAGGCCCUCCUGUCUUCCACUGCCUCCUGCAGUUUGGUCAAAUUCAUGUUAGUAGCUUUGAGAACACUGUCCAACCAUCUCGUCCUCUGUCGUCCCCUUCUCCUUGUGCCCUCCAUCUUUCCCAACAUCAGGGUCUUUUCCAGGGAGUCUUCUCUUCUCAUGAGAUGGCCAAAGUACUGGAGCCUCAGCUUCAGGAUCUGUCCUUCCAGUCAGCACUCAGGGCUGAUUUCCUUCAGAAUGGAGAGGUUUGAUCUUCUUGCAGUCCAUGGGACUCUCAAGAGUCUCCUCCAGCACCAUAAUUCAAAAGCAUCAAUUCUUCGGCAAUCAGCCUUCUUUAUGGUCCAGCUCUCAGGGGCAGAAUACAGCCCUCCAAACCUCUCUCUCUGGUCCUUGGGACUCUCUCCUAGCUGCACCCUUCUCCAGGACAUCUGACCCUCUCUCCACACCACCUCCAUCACUGAUUCUUCUCUACACGCAUCUCAACACGCAUUUUCCUGGGUGGAAGGUGUCCUUGAGCAGUGAUAAUGCUGCUUACUUGCCUGGCUGGAGAAAGUUGGGUGUGUGUGUAGUGAGGCUCUUAGAAACACCUGGCUUUUGCACAGCCGGGACCCCAUCUGCACUGUCCCCUGAAGCAGUAUCACACCACUUUCAAAAAGCCAUGGCUUCUCCCAAGGAGUCGUGGGAACUGAAGUUUCUUAAGGGUGCUGAGAGCUGUUAGGAGACCUUCCCCCGUUCCCCUCGCAGAACUACAAUUCCCAGAGUUCCCUUGGAAAAGGAAUUGAUUGCCCUUAAAGCUCCAUGAGUGCAGGAGGAUCUCUGAAUCGUCCCUGUACUCUUGCAAAUAGUUAUAUCAGGAUGAGAAGCUGUUCUUUUUUCAGAGGUACGAGAAAUGCAGGGGGGGUGAGUGGGAACCAAUGACUGCGGCAGGCUGCCAAUAAAAUGUAUGAAGGCAAUUUCUGCGUUUAAGGCAUUUCCUCGUGGAGGCCACUUCAGUGCAUUGGUUUCUUGUCACAGUCCAUAGUGAGGAUGACAAAUCUGACUAAUUCAUGUUCCCCCAGUCAAACGACUUGUCAGUGUUCUCAUAAUAAUAUAUAAGCCUCUGAACCAACAUCAAUCAGCAUCUGCAGGCUUCUUUCUCAAUCUUUCCACUCGGAAGGGAGGAAAUGCAGCAGAAAGCAUGGAGCUGGGAUCGGAGAGCCAUCGAAGCAGCUGAUCUUACAUGAAAGGCCGGGAAAGGGAAAUAAAUGCAUUUGUGAAUGUGGAGGAGAAGAUGGCAUUGCAACGGCAAGGCAGUAGUCUAAGAGGGGUGUAUUUUCCACAUUUCCACAUUUAAUAUACUGUGUGUAUAUAUAGGAAUAUAAGGUAAAGGGACCCCUGACCAUUAGGUCCAGUCAUGACCGACUCUGGGGUUGCGGCUCUCAUCGUGCUUUAUUGGCUGAGGGAGCCGGCGUACAGCUUCCGGUUAAUGUGGCCAGCAUGAGUAAGCCGCUUCUGGUGAACCAGAGCAGCGCACGGAAACGCCAUUUACCUUCCCGCCAGAGUGGUACCUAUUUAUCUACUUGCACUUUGACGUGCUUUCAAACUGCUAGGUGGGCAGGAGCAGGGACCGAGCAACGGGAGCUCACCCUGUCGUGGGGAUUCGAACUGCUGACCUUCUGAUCAACAAGUCCUAGGCUCUGUGGUUUAACCCACAGCGCCACCCGCAUCCCAUAUAUAGGAGUAAGUCCCAGCUAUUCUCCCAUGCAAUCAUUAAAUCAGAAGGGUAGACUUUAUUCUCCAGUCCAGUAGGAUGAAGUAUGUGUAUUUGGCUAUAAAACUCAGUUCCUCACAGCUGUGAACUGCUUGGCAUUGAGGGACUGAUAGUCACAAAUCAUGAUAGGGGAGGAAAAGCAUUUAGUUAACUUUUAUUUUAUUUUAUUUUAUUUUUUACUAAUAUAUAUAUCAUGAAAAUAUUGGCAUGUUUACAACAAUUAUAUGUAAAACCAUACAAGAGAAACCAUGUAAGAACCAUGAAAAUCAACUGACGAUUAUGGAAAGGUAUAUUCUUAAUAGCCUGCAAAAGCCUGAAGGAAUAGGAAAGUUUUCAGCAGGAAUUAAAAAGUUGAAACAGAAGGCAACCAUUAUAUUUAAAGGAGAGCCUAGCUAAUGCACACUAUCCUAAAGACUCCAGGGACCAAAGCACAGCCAUCUCUCAAAAUUCACAUGUUUUGGAAUGUGGCAGUGUGGUCCUCCAGCCAAGCAGUUUUUACAAAACUGUAUAUACCGGGGCAAAGUGUACAUAAAAAUGUAUAUAUUAGUGAAAAUAACUACAACAGAUGUAUUAUAUUAAGGAAAUUUGCUCUGCCAAAAAAAUGUAUAUUCGGUAAAAUUGCAUGCAAAAGUUGUAUGUUGCAAGGAAUUUGUAGUAAACUCUGAAUUUGCAUGUGAAUUUUUUAUUAUUAAAAAAAUCACACAUUGUAGAAAUGGGGAGAAUUUAAUGAGAAACUGUCAAUGACAGAUUCACAGACCUCUAGUUACAAAUUGUGUUCAUCUGGGCUGACCCAAACCAGCUGAUUGUUUUUCGUGAAGAUUCUCAGCAGGACAAGAAAACCAAAACCUCCUUUUCUAAAUGGUUUUUCAGCACUCCUGAACAAACAUGUGUUUGUUGAAAUUGCUCUCACUCUCCAUCGCCUUGAUUCACCCUCAAUGAAGUCAUUGCACAAUCAAAUCUGAUUGACCAUUUAGCACUGUGGUGCUGUCCUGUUCGCUAUGUGAUUCCUGAUGGGGGUGAAUUUCUCUCUGGGAAAGAGAAAGAAGAAGAUGUCACUGAGGAGAGGAAGUGCCAAAUAAGCUUCAGACAGAGGAAACAAUGAACAAGGUCAAAAAAAAAAAAAAGGUAAAUAGAUUUGGGCACUGCUGGUCACUACAAUUGGCAGAUGUUCCAAAUGAACUUCUGGAAUGACAUGUCUGGG
Non-coding RNA from Podarcis lilfordi (Lilford's wall lizard), 4786 nucleotides. NCBI's taxonomy places the organism in Eukaryota, Metazoa, Chordata, Lepidosauria, Squamata, Lacertidae. The record is from the annotation of a GenBank genome assembly.